RNAcentral lists this ribosomal RNA (574 nucleotides) under Schistosoma indicum. RNAcentral's name for it is "partial large subunit ribosomal RNA". The stretch from base 186 to 341 matches the Rfam family "Archaeal large subunit ribosomal RNA", at positions 1885 to 2088 of the family's 2987-position model. Lineage: Eukaryota; Metazoa; Platyhelminthes; Trematoda; Strigeidida; Schistosomatidae. The record is from RNAcentral.
AUUUGAGUUUGUAAAUGGAGGCUGAGAUUAAAAUUGUCUUUGGUUUAGUAAGUUAUUUACCUAGCUUGAGAUGUGUAAUGUAUUCUUGUAUGGAUGGUGAGUCAUUUUGUGAAUUGGUUGUGGGAUAAUGAAAGAAUAAGUAGGUUUAUAGGUAUAAUAAAAGUUGUUUUUUUUUUCGGUGGUUGCUUUCAACUGUUUAUUAAAAACAUUUCUAUUUGGGAGAGAUAAAUAGUAUGACCUGCCCAAUGAGCUUUUAAAUGAAUGGCCGCGGCUUUAGUCGUGCUAAGGUAGCAUAAUAUAUAGUUUUUUAAUUGGAGACUUGUGAAUGGUUUAAUGAAAGGUGUCUAAAAUGAUAGCUGUUUCUGAAUUUAGUACGGUGGUCAGGAAUCCAUUGUUGAGAUAUAGGACGGAAAGACCCCAAGAGCUUUACAAAGUUUUGUUUUAUUUGGGGUAAAUGUAGAUAAUUCAUUUAUUUUUAGAACCUAAUGGAAUAUAGGAUAAAGUUACCUUGGGGAUAACUGAGUAAAGGGCGGAAAGAGGUCUUAUUGAUCCGUUUGUUACUACCUCGAUGUUG